GCUGGAAUGGCCGAGUCGUUAAGGCGAGUGAUUUGAAUUCAUUAACCCCCUGUUUCCCUAUCACUUGGUGUUUCACCGCGUAGGUUCAAAUCCUGCUUCCAGCG
Molecule: non-coding RNA, 104 nt
Organism: Crucibulum laeve
Lineage: Eukaryota; Fungi; Basidiomycota; Agaricomycetes; Agaricales; Nidulariaceae
Source: the annotation of a GenBank genome assembly